This 548-nucleotide ribosomal RNA is filed under the name uncultured bacterium. RNAcentral's name for it is "bacterial SSU rRNA". It matches the Rfam family "Bacterial small subunit ribosomal RNA", at positions 355 to 896 of the family's 1533-position model. The record is from RNAcentral.
UAGGGAAUCUUCGGCAAUGGACGCAAGUCUGACCGAGCAACGCCGCGUGAGUGAAGACGGUUUUCGGAUCGUAAAGCUCUGUUGUAGGGGAAGAACGUGUGUAAGAGUGGAAAGCUUACACAGUGACGGUACCCUACCAGAAAGGGACGGCUAACUACGUGCCAGCAGCCGCGGUAAUACGUAGGUCCCGAGCGUUGUCCGGAUUUAUUGGGCGUAAAGGGAGCGCAGGCGGUUUAGUAAGUCUGAAGUUAAAGGCAUUGGCUCAACCAAUGUAUGCUUUGGAAGCUGUUAGACUUGAGUGCAGAAGGGGAGAGUGGAAUUCCAUGUGUAGCGGUGAAAUGCGUAGAUAUAUGGAGGAACACCGGUGGCGAAAGCGGCUCUCUGGUCUGUCACUGACGCUGAGGCUCGAAAGCGUGGGUAGCGAACAGGAUUAGAUACCCUGGUAGUCCACGCCGUANCGCUGAGUGCUAGGUGUUAGGUCCUUUCCGGGACUUAGUGCCNACGCNNCGCANUNANCACUCCGCCUGGGGAGUACNACCGCAAGGNUG